This 1219-nucleotide long non-coding RNA is filed under the name Oryzias sinensis (Chinese medaka). RNAcentral's name for it is "lncRNA (ENSOSIG00000011182.1)". The record is from RNAcentral. Lineage: Eukaryota; Metazoa; Chordata; Actinopteri; Beloniformes; Adrianichthyidae.
GCCUUGUUAACCCUUUCUGUCAGCUUCAUUGAGGAGGAGGGGGCUCCAAAGAGGCUGUCAGUGGGAUGCUGGAGUGCGUCAGAUUGUCUGCGUUUGGAUAAGGCAGUUUGCCCAUUGUUUCUGAUGCCCCAGCUGGGCCCAGGAAUGCCUCCACCCUCCCGAAAUAGAAAGACAGCUGAGAGCUUCCAUGCAUACUGAGGGCAGGGCUGGUCAGCGGGGCCCAGGUCCUCUGACCCACGCCAUAACUAAGUACAAUGAGAGAUGGGCUAUUGUCUGGAGCGCAGAGGAAUUACACUGAUGGCUAAAAGACUAUUAAGUGGCUCUGCUGUAUGUAUGCGUGCGGGUAAAUGACAGGGGGGGGGGGGGGGGGGGAGUAGCAGAGCAGGGCGUGGAGGGGUAAUUGGGGCUUUGGAGUGCAGUUCUGCCACGCGCCUGCCUGACUCCACGCCGAUGAACCCAUGGCUAAGACCUGAGCCCACACAGUUGCUGCAAGAGGAGUCGGUUCUGCGUACAGUCUUCGGGGGAGUUGUCUCCGUGUUUGGACGAGAAGAGUUUGGAGACUCCGUAAAACUAAAGAGGACCUGCGCCGCGGGGCGCGCCGGCAGGACGACUCCUGCAAGGGACGAUUUAAAGGCAAAGCGAGAAGUUUGGUGGAAAGUAAAUGGGAAAAAAAGUCACUCUAGGCGAGUGAAUCUCAUAGGUGAGAAAGAAAUCCCACUAAAGUUUCAUGUGCUGUAUUAUUUGUAAAAGCUAACAUAAACAUGCGGUAUACAUGCCAAUCAUAUCUGACCUAUGACACUCAUUAAUGUACAUUUCAUACAUUCAUAAUGAAAAAUAAGGCCUUUUUUUAAUUAAAGUAAAUAAAACAUGAAACUUUGAUUGUACAUAAAAACAUUAGGAGAAAAAUGUGCAAAAGAGGCAAAUGAAUCUUUGUCAUGUGCAGCAAGGGAUGUUGGGAUUACUGUCAUACUCAGAAAAUAUUGGUCAAGGAGUCAUUUUGGGUUCUUGGGUGGACUACACCUUUUCAUGCAGUUUGUUCAACAAAUACGCUUAGUUUUUCUUUUCUACACUGGUUGGUUGAAGUUCUUCCAUCUUCAGAGUAAAUGAAACUAACCCUGGACCAUCCAGGUAUUCUGGAAUCUUUUUAAUCUCUUGUUUUACUAAACAUUUGCUUUGUUGUGCAACGACUUUGUUUUUAUCCAAAUCUGUACAGUGAUUU